RNAcentral lists this ribosomal RNA (1372 nucleotides) under Bacteroides ovatus. RNAcentral's name for it is "bacterial SSU rRNA". It matches the Rfam family "Bacterial small subunit ribosomal RNA". RNAcentral also lists the same sequence under 1 other name. The record is from RNAcentral. Lineage: Bacteria; Pseudomonadati; Bacteroidota; Bacteroidia; Bacteroidales; Bacteroidaceae.
AGCAUUUUAGUUUGCNUUGCAAACUAAAGAUGGCGACCGGCGCACGGGUGAGUAACACGUAUCCAACCUGCCGAUAACUCGGGGAUAGCCUUUCGAAAGAAAGAUUAAUAUCCGAUAGUAUAUUAAAACCGCAUGGUUUUACUAUUAAAGAAUUUCGGUUAUCGAUGGGGAUGCGUUCCAUUAGUUUGUUGGCGGGGUAACGGCCCACCAAGACUACGAUGGAUAGGGGUUCUGAGAGGAAGGUCCCCCACAUUGGAACUGAGACACGGUCCAAACUCCUACGGGAGGCAGCAGUGAGGAAUAUUGGUCAAUGGACGAGAGUCUGAACCAGCCAAGUAGCGUGAAGGAUGACUGCCCUAUGGGUUGUAAACUUCUUUUAUAUGGGAAUAAAGUAUUCCACGUGUGGAAUUUUGUAUGUACCAUAUGAAUAAGGAUCGGCUAACUCCGUGCCAGCAGCCGCGGUAAUACGGAGCCGAGCGUUAUCCGGAUUUAUUGGGUUUAAAGGGAGCGUAGGUGGAUUGUUAAGUCAGUUGUGAAAGUUUGCGGCUCAACCGUAAAAUUGCAGUUGAAACUGGCAGUCUUGAGUACAGUAGAGGUGGGCGGAAUUCGUGGUGUAGCGGUGAAAUGCUUAGAUAUCACGAAGAACUCCGAUUGCGAAGGCAGCUCACUAGACUGCAACUGACACUGAUGCUCGAAAGUGUGGGUAUCAAACAGGAUUAGAUACCCUGGUAGUCCACACAGUAAACGAUGAAUACUCGCUGUUUGCGAUAUACAGUAAGCGGCCAAGCGAAAGCAUUAAGUAUUCCACCUGGGGAGUACGCCGGCAACGGUGAAACUCAAAGGAAUUGACGGGGGCCCGCACAAGCGGAGGAACAUGUGGUUUAAUUCGAUGAUACGCGAGGAACCUUACCCGGGCUUAAAUUGCAUUUGAAUAAUCUGGAAACAGGUUAGCCGCAAGGCAAAUGUGAAUUGGCUGCAUGGUUGUCGUCAGCUCGUGCCGUGAGGUGUCGGCUUAAGUGCCAUAACGAGCGCAACCCUUAUCUUUAGUUACUAACAGGUUAUGCUGAGGACUCUAGAGAGACUGCCGUCGUAAGAUGUGAGGAAGGUGGGGAUGACGUCAAAUCAGCACGGCCCUUACGUCCGGGGCUACACACGUGUUACAAUGGGGGGUACAGAAGGCAGCUACCUGGUGACAGGAUGCUAAUCCCAAAAACCUCUCUCAGUUCGGAUCGAAGUCUGCAACCCGACUUCGUGAAGCUGGAUUCGCUAGUAAUCGCGCAUCAGCCAUGGCGCGGUGAAUACGUUCCCGGGCCUUGUACACACCGCCCGUCAAGCCAUGAAAGCCGGGGGUACCUGAAGUACGUAACCGCAA